This 1774-nucleotide long non-coding RNA is filed under the name Homo sapiens (human). RNAcentral's name for it is "non-protein coding lnc-ZC3H12B-1:4". Lineage: Eukaryota; Metazoa; Chordata; Mammalia; Primates; Hominidae. The record is from RNAcentral.
AUCUGGCCACAGCAGGAAGAAGAGGCGCCCGGAAAACCUUAGCUCUUGGCUAUCUCUUCCCUGAGCACACCCUGGCCCUGGGGCCUGAGAUCUCUCCAUGCAGGGGCAGCCAUGAGCUCCGGGGGCAGCAGCAAGGCUGGCCACACCACCCAUCAGCCACCUCCAGCCCCGCCGCUCAACCAGCCAUCAGUCCCUUAACUGCCAGUGUUCGUGGACCAUGCAAAACAACCAAGCAAGGGACUCAUUAAGCCCAAAGCAAUUUUAGGGUGCCCAGUGGAGAGACUCACAGAGGCUGCUAGUGCCGAUGCUGCUGGUGCUGCUGCUGAGGAGUGCCCAGGACCAGGUGCCAGGGGAGUUGGAGUCAAUAACCACCACUGUCAGAUCUACUGACCCCCAAGCCAGUUUCUCCAGUCAGUAGAUCCCAGCCAGCCUAGAAGCAGGCUCACAGUUUUCCAUGGAGGGCUUGGAUAAUAAACUGAUCCUGGAUGUUGGUGGCAUACGCCACCUGAUCUACAUCAGCACCAUGAGGGCCUUUCCAGCAUUUAGAACUAUAAAUUUCCAGUCCCAGCUACUCAGGAGACUGAGGCACAAGAAUUGCUUGAACCUGAGAGGUAGAGGUUGCAGUGAGCCAAGAUCGCACCACUGCACUCCAGCCUGGGCGACAGAGGGAGACUCUGUCAAAAAAAAAAAGAAAGAAGAAAGAAAGAAAAGAAAAGAAAGAAGAAAAAAGAAAGAAAGAAAAAGAGAAAGAAAAAAAGAAGGAAGGAAGAAAGGAAGGAAGGAAGGAAGAAAGGAAGGAAGGAAGGAAGCAAGGGACGAACUACAAAUUUCCCUCUAAUCAGUGUCUUCACUUUAUUCCCAAAUUUUUGGUAUGCUGUGUUUUCAUCUUCAUUCAUCUCUAAGUAUACUCUAACCUCCUUUUUAAUUUCUUCUUUGACUCAUUGGUUGCUUAUGUCAUUUAACUUCCACAUAUUUGCAAAAUUUCCAGUUUUCCUUUAGUUAUUGACUUCACUGCAUGUGGUCGAGGAAGAUACUUUGUAUGGUUUCAAUGUUUAAAAAAUUUAUUGGGACUUGUUUUAUGACCUAACAUAUGGUCUAUUCUGGAGAAUGUUUCAUUUGCACUUCAGAAGAAUGUGUGUUUUGAGAAGAAUAUGUAUUCUGCUGUUGUUGAAUGGAGUGUUCUAUAUUUGUUGGUCUAGCUGGUUUAUGGUGCUGUUCAAAUCCUCUACUUUCUUAUUCAUCUUCUGUCUAUCCAUUGUUUAGAAUAGGGUAUUGUGUCUUCCACUGUUAUUUUAGAACAGUGUAUUUCUUCCUUCAUUUCUGUCAGCUUAUUUCAUAUUUUGAGGUUUUAACUGUUUGUUGCACAUAUGUUUAUAAUAAUUAUACAUUAUUAAUGAAUUGACCCUUUUAUCAAUAUAUAAUUUCAUUCUUUGUUUCUUGUAACAGUUUGUUUUGUUUGAUACAUAUAUUGCCACCCAGCUAUCUUUUGGUUACUAUUUGCAUGGAAUGCUUUUUCUCCAUCCUUUUAUGUUCAACCUAUUUGUGUCUUUGAAUAUAAAGUGAGACUGUUGUAGACAGACAACAUAUAGUUGGAUCAUGUUUUCUAACUAUCCUGCCAAUUUCUGCCUUUUGAUUGGAUGAUUUAAUCAAUUUACAUUUAAAGUGAUUACUGAUAUGGAAGAACUUACUUCUACCUUUUUGCUAUUUGAUUUUUGUAUUUCUUUUUCCCUUUUAAAUAAUUUUUAUCUCUUUAUUGAUAUUAAAAAUUUCAAAU